UACAGAGGGUGCAAGCGUUAAUCGGAAUUACUGGGCGGUAAAGACGUGCGCAGGCGGUGAUGUAAGACAGUUGUGAAAUCCCCGGGCUCGAACCUGGGAACUGCAUCUGUGACUGCAUCGCUGGAGUACGGUAGAGGGGGAUGGAAUUCCGCGUGUAGCAGUGAAAUGCGUAGAGAUCCGGAGGAACACCGACGGCGCAGGCAGCGUCCUGGCCGCUUGCUGACACUGAGGCACGAAAGCUGGGGGAGCAAACAGG
Molecule: ribosomal RNA, 256 nt
Filed under: uncultured bacterium
Lineage: Bacteria
Description: partial 16S ribosomal RNA
Rfam family: Bacterial small subunit ribosomal RNA
Source: RNAcentral